Molecule: non-coding RNA, 712 nt
Organism: Nerophis lumbriciformis (worm pipefish)
Lineage: Eukaryota; Metazoa; Chordata; Actinopteri; Syngnathiformes; Syngnathidae
Source: RefSeq, a predicted model, not a curated record
GGGGAGACUCGGGAAGGCACUGCGGGAGAACAACAAGGAUGUCAGAACACGGAGGGAAAAACGCAGAGAGAGAGAGAAAGCAUAAGGCUUACGGUAUCCAAAGAGGUCCAGGUGCGCUGAUUGCUGAUCGCCCAUAGCCUUGCCGGCAUGUGGGCGCGUCCCGAGGUGCGACAAGCAGGGCGAGAGAGAGAGGCGUCAGAGUCCAUGUCCAGGCGAGGAUCGAGGAAGGCAGUCCAAAACCCACGGGAGAAACAACGGGAGAUAACAAAGGGGGAGACUCGGGAAGGCACUGCGGGAGAACAACAAGGAUGUCAGAACACGGAGGGAAAAACGCAGAGAGAGAGAGAGAAAGCAUAAGGCUUACGGUAUCCAAAGAGGUCCAGGUGCGCUGAUUGCUGAUCGCCCACACGCGGCCGUGGGCGCGUCCUGAGGUUCGACAAGCAGAGCGCAAAGAUGAGGGCGCAUUGGAAUGCGCCCUGGCCUUGACAGCUAUGCAAGCGCUUAAAGCUACAACAAAGAUGUCGGGGAGAAGACGCUGUCGAAGUGGAGGCACAUAAAUAAGGGCGGCCACAAAACAGCCACCAAAGAGACGGUCAGUAAGCGGCUUGAAGUGGCAACCUUGGUGAAACACUAAGCAUCGUUUGUAUUAGAAAUCCUUGCUCUUCAGAGGAUUUAAGAUCCCCUGAAGAGCAGGGGAACCUGCGAAACAGGC